UCAGGUAGGGAUACCCGCUGAACUUAAGCAACU
Molecule: ribosomal RNA, 33 nt
Filed under: Sclerostagonospora elegiae
Lineage: Eukaryota; Fungi; Ascomycota; Dothideomycetes; Pleosporales; Phaeosphaeriaceae
Description: partial 28S ribosomal RNA
Source: RNAcentral